RNAcentral lists this non-coding RNA (570 nucleotides) under Linnemannia elongata AG-77. Its description in RNAcentral is "Mortierella elongata AG-77 Eukaryotic large subunit ribosomal RNA". It matches the Rfam family "Eukaryotic large subunit ribosomal RNA", at positions 2417 to 3399 of the family's 3401-position model. The record is from Rfam by way of RNAcentral. Lineage: Eukaryota; Fungi; Mortierellomycota; Mortierellomycetes; Mortierellales; Mortierellaceae.
UGCUCUGCAGGCAUGACAUAUAGUCCAUGCAAUUCAUAUGAUCAAUCGGUUUGUGGCAGCCAACGUUCAUACCGACGUUGCUUUUUGAUCCUUUCAUGCUGGCUUGGAUUGCUCAUCUACUUAUAAGGAACAAGACUUGGAGGUUUGACCUUCGUGAGACAGGUUAGUUUUACCCUAAUGAUGAAAUGUUAUUGCAAAAGUAAUUGAACUUGGUACGUGAGGAACUGUUCAUUCGGAUAAUUGGUGUUUGGACCUUCCUGAGCAGGCAAUGACCUGAAGCUAACCUCCGUUGGUCAUAGCUGAACGUCUCUAACUCAGAAUUCGUGCUAGAAUGCAACUUUUGCGGCCUUUCUCCGAUUUUUAGUAGAAUACGAAUAGACCUUCGAGUUCAAGAUUAUAUUGCGGGGGUAUUUGCGGAGAAAAAAGUCGCCUGUAUUUCUUUAUUGACAGCUUCAAAUAUCGUAAGAAAUAAAUCCAUUGCAGAUGACUUUAUUUGAACAAAGUAAUGAGAGUAGUAGAGUAGCCUUAUUGCUAAGAUCCCUUAGAUUAAGGUUAUUGUUGUAUUGAUAU